GUACGUACUUGUCAGAACAGAUUCCAUGGUCAGGAAGGUGGUUUCUUUAGGCUGAGGCUUAAUCCGUUACACUGCGGGCAUGCUGACUCCUCUGAUUUCACCAAAUGCGGGGAAACUCGACUGCAUAGUUUGUGGUAGUGGGGGGAUUGCGUUUGCGCUUUCCUCUG
Nomascus leucogenys (northern white-cheeked gibbon) is the source of this 167-nucleotide small nuclear RNA. Its record names the gene U1. It matches the Rfam family "U1 spliceosomal RNA". Rfam says of the family: U1 is a small nuclear RNA (snRNA) component of the spliceosome (involved in pre-mRNA splicing). Its 5' end forms complementary base pairs with the 5' splice junction, thus defining the 5' donor site of an intron. Lineage: Eukaryota; Metazoa; Chordata; Mammalia; Primates; Hylobatidae. The record is from Ensembl.